GACGAACGCUGGCGGCGUGCUUAACACAUGCAAGUCGAACGAAGAGCGAUGGAAGCUUGCUUCUAUCAAUCUUAGUGGCGAACGGGUGAGUAACGCGUAAUCAACCUGCCCUACAGAGGGGGACAACAGUUGGAAACGACUGCUAAUACCGCAUACGAUCCAAUCUCGGCAUCGGGACUGGAUGAAAGGUGGCCUCUAUUUAUAAGCUAUCACUGAAGGAGGGGAUUGCGUCUGAUUAGCUAGUUGGAGGGGUAACGGCCCACCAAGGCGAUGAUCAGUAGCCGGUCUGAGAGGAUGAACGGCCACAUUGGGACUGAGACACGGCCCAGACUCCUACGGGAGGCAGCAGUGGGGAAUCUUCCGCAAUGGACGAAAGUCUGACGGAGCAACGCCGCGGGAGUGAUGACGGCCUUCGGGUUGUAAAGCUCUGUUAAUCGGGACGAAUGGUUCUUGUGCGAAUAGUGCGAGGAUUUGACGGUACCGGAAUAGAAAGCCACGGCUAACUACGUG
This 510-nucleotide ribosomal RNA is filed under the name uncultured bacterium. Its description in RNAcentral is "partial 16S ribosomal RNA". It matches the Rfam family "Bacterial small subunit ribosomal RNA", at positions 28 to 507 of the family's 1533-position model. The record is from RNAcentral.